CAGUCGCCGCGGUAAUACGUAGGGUGCGAGCGUUAAUCGGAAUUACUGGGCGUAAAGCGUGCGCUGGCGGUUGUGUAAGACAGGUGUGAAAUCCCCGGGCUUAGCCUGGGAACUGCGCUUGUGACUGCACAGCUAGAGUAUGGCAGAGGGGGGUGGAAUUCCACGUGUAGCAGUGAAAUGCGUAGAGAUGUGGAGGAACACCGAUGGCGAAGGCAGCCCCCUGGGCCAAUACUGACGCUCAUGCACGAAAGCGUGGGGAGCAAACAGGAUUAGAUACCCCUGUAGUCCCUGUCUCUUAUAC
RNAcentral lists this ribosomal RNA (301 nucleotides) under uncultured bacterium. Its description in RNAcentral is "partial 16S ribosomal RNA". It matches the Rfam family "Bacterial small subunit ribosomal RNA", at positions 509 to 807 of the family's 1533-position model. The record is from RNAcentral.